RNAcentral lists this ribosomal RNA (484 nucleotides) under uncultured bacterium. RNAcentral's name for it is "bacterial SSU rRNA". It matches the Rfam family "Bacterial small subunit ribosomal RNA", at positions 35 to 507 of the family's 1533-position model. The record is from RNAcentral.
GCUGGCGGCAUGCUUAACACAUGCAAGUCGAACGGCAGCAUUAGGAGCUUGCUCCUAGAUGGCGAGUGGCGAACGGGUGAGUAACGCGUAGGAAUCUGCCUUGUAGCGGGGGAUAACCCGGGGAAACCCGGACUAAUACCGCAUACGCUCUGAGGAGGAAAGCAGGGGGACCUUUCGGGGCCUUGCGCUAUAAGAUGAGCCUGCGUUAGAUUAGCUUGUUGGUGGGGUAAUGGCCUACCAAGGCAACGAUCUAUAGCUGGUCUGAGAGGAUGAUCAGCCACACUGGAACUGAGACACGGUCCAGACUCCUACGGGAGGCAGCAGUGGGGAAUAUUGGACAAUGGGCGCAAGCCUGAUCCAGCAAUGCCGCGUGUGUGAAGAAGGCCUGAGGGUUGUAAAGCACUUUCAGAAGGGAGGAAGGUCUGUAGGUUAAUAACCUAUGGAAUUGACGUUACCUUCAGAAGAAGCACCGGCUAACUCUGUG